GACGAACGCUGGCGGCGUGCUUAACACAUGCAAGUCGAACGGAAAGGCCCUGCUUUUGUGGGGUGCUCGAGUGGCGAACGGGUGAGUAACACGUGAGUAACCUGCCCUUGACUUUGGGAUAACUUCAGGAAACUAGGGCUAAUACCGGAUAGGAGCUCCUGCUGCAUGGUGGGGGUUGGAAAGUUUCGGCGGUUGGGGAUGGACUCGCGGCUUAUCAGCUUGUUGGUGGGGUAGUGGCUUACCAAGGCUUUGACGGGUAGCCGGCCUGAGAGGGUGACCGGCCACAUUGGGACUGAGAUACGGCCCAGACUCCUACGGGAGGCAGCAGUGGGGAAUAUUGCACAAUGGGCGGAAGCCUGAUGCAGCAACGUCGCGUGCGGGAUGACGGCCUUCGGGUUGUAAACCGCUUUCGCCUGUGACGAAGCGUGAGUGACGGUAAUGGGUAAAGAAGCACCGGCUAACUACGU
Molecule: ribosomal RNA, 467 nt
Filed under: uncultured bacterium
Lineage: Bacteria
Description: partial 16S ribosomal RNA
Rfam family: Bacterial small subunit ribosomal RNA
Source: RNAcentral